GACGAACGCUGGCGGCGUGCCUAACACAUGCAAGUCAACUUGACUGAAGGAGCAAUCUGACAGUAGAGUGGCGCAAGGGUGCGUAACGCGUAAGUAACUUGCCCAAGGUAAGGAAUAACGUCGAGAAAUCGGCGCUAAUACCUCAUAAUGCAGCGGAUCCGCAUGGAUAUGUUGUUAAAGGUUUACCGCCUUGGGAUAGGCUUGCGUCUGAUUAGCUAGUUGGUGUGGUAACGGCACACCAAGGCUACGAUCAGUAACUGGUCUGAGAGGAUGAUCAGUCACACUGGAACUGAGACACGGUCCAGACUCCUACGGGAGGCAGCAGUGAGGAAUAUUGGGCAAUGCUCGAAAGAGUGACCCAGCAACGCCGCGUGGAGGAUGAAGGUAUUCUAUAUCGUAAACUCCUGUGAGAGCAGACGAAAGACAGAUUAUUAAUCUGGAUGACUGUAUGCUCAGAGGAAGCCCCGGCUAACUACG
RNAcentral lists this ribosomal RNA (477 nucleotides) under uncultured bacterium. RNAcentral's name for it is "bacterial SSU rRNA". It matches the Rfam family "Bacterial small subunit ribosomal RNA", at positions 28 to 505 of the family's 1533-position model. The record is from RNAcentral.